This 253-nucleotide ribosomal RNA is filed under the name uncultured bacterium. RNAcentral's name for it is "partial 16S ribosomal RNA". It matches the Rfam family "Bacterial small subunit ribosomal RNA", at positions 524 to 776 of the family's 1533-position model. The record is from RNAcentral.
UACGUAGGGUGCAAGCGUUGUCCGGAAUCAUUGGGCGUAAAGCGCGUGUAGGCGGUCCGGUAAGUCGGCUGUGAAAGUCCAGGGCUCAACCCUGGGAUGCCGGUCGAUACUGCCGGACUAGAGUUCGGAAGAGGCGAGUGGAAUUCCCGGUGUAGCGGUGAAAUGCGCAGAUAUCGGGAGGAACACCUAUGGCGAAGGCAGCUCGCUGGGACGUUACUGACGCUGAGACGCGAAAGCGUGGGGAGCAAAAAGG